CCCUGACUCUGGGAUAAGCGUUGGAAACGACGUCUAAUACUGGAUACGACUGCCGGCCGCAUGGUCUGGUGGUGGAAAGAUUUUUUGGUUGGGGAUGGACUCGCGGCCUAUCAGCUUGUUGGUGAGGUAAUGGCUCACCAAGGCGACGACGGGUAGCCGGCCUGAGAGGGUGACCGGCCACACUGGGACUGAGACACGGCCCAGACUCCUACGGGAGGCAGCAGUGGGGAAUAUUGCACAAUGGGCGAAAGCCUGAUGCAGCAACGCCGCGUGAGGGAUGACGGCCUUCGGGUUGUAAACCUCUUUUAGUAGGGAAGAAGCGAAGUGACGGUACCUGCAAAAAAGCACCGGCUAACUACGUGCCAGCAGCCGCGGUAAUACGUAGGGUGCAAGCGUUGUCCGGAAUUAUUGGGCGUAAAGAGCUCGUAGGCGGUUUGUCGCGUCUGCUGUGAAAUCCCGAGGCUCAACCUCGGGCUUGCAGUGGGUACGGGCAGACUAGAGUGCGGUAGGGGAGAUUGGAAUUCCUGGUGUAGCGGUGGAAUGCGCAAAUAUCAGGAGGAACACCGAUGGCGAAGGCAGAUCUCUGGGCCGUAACUGACGCUGAGGAGCGAAAGCGUGGGGAGCGAACAGGAUUAAAUACCCUGGUAGUCCACGCCGUA
This 659-nucleotide ribosomal RNA is filed under the name Curtobacterium oceanosedimentum. RNAcentral describes it as "bacterial SSU rRNA". It matches the Rfam family "Bacterial small subunit ribosomal RNA", at positions 130 to 804 of the family's 1533-position model. Lineage: Bacteria; Bacillati; Actinomycetota; Actinomycetes; Micrococcales; Microbacteriaceae. The record is from RNAcentral.